RNAcentral lists this ribosomal RNA (259 nucleotides) under uncultured bacterium. RNAcentral's name for it is "partial 16S ribosomal RNA". It matches the Rfam family "Bacterial small subunit ribosomal RNA", at positions 99 to 353 of the family's 1533-position model. The record is from RNAcentral.
CGAACGGGUGAGUAACGCGUGAGGAACCUGCCUCAAAGAGGGGGACGAACAGUUGGAAACGACUGCUAAUACCGCAUAAGCCCACGGGUCGGCAUCGACCAGAGGGAAAAGGAGCAAUCCGCUUUGAGAUGGCCUCGCGUCCGAUUAGCUAGUUGGUGAGGUAAUGGCCCACCAAGGCGACGAUCGGUAGCCGGACUGAGAGGUUGAACGGCCACAUUGGGACUGAGACACGGCCCAGACUCCUACGGGAGGCAGCAUG